AUCACUGCACAGUGGUAGUAUUGUAGCCAAUGAGGUUUAUCCGAGGCGCGAUUAUUGCUAAUUGAAAAUUUUCCCAAUACCCCGCCAUGAUGACUUGAAAUAUAGUCAACAUUGGCAAUUUUUGACAGUCUCUACAAAUA
This 140-nucleotide small nuclear RNA is filed under the name Carlito syrichta (Philippine tarsier). Its description in RNAcentral is "U4 spliceosomal RNA (ENSTSYG00000022511.2)". It matches the Rfam family "U4 spliceosomal RNA". Rfam says of the family: U4 small nuclear RNA (U4 snRNA) is a component of the major U2-dependent spliceosome. Lineage: Eukaryota; Metazoa; Chordata; Mammalia; Primates; Tarsiidae. The record is from Rfam by way of RNAcentral.